CUAUUAUUGUAUAUUUUUUUAAUCAUUGGAGGUCAAAUGCUCUCUGGCUUCUCUUGCAUCCAAUGCUCCGGGGGAGCGGCAACAAUAUCAUAUCCUUUUUGACCAGACAGCAUCAGAUAGAUGGGCUACACAUACAGAGACAGAGGGGCGCUGUUUCAUUCGCUCGGAUGCCUUCUCUCCGAUGAGAUACAUUCAGCCUCUUGCGAAUUAAAGGAAAAUGAUGAAACACAGAGAGAUGAAAGAUAAAUUAUUUUUUAUUUUUUUAUCAGUACAUUUUUUGGGGAAGCCUGGCUUCCCUUGGCAACCAUGAAUACACAGCUCUAUGAACAUGAGCACAUCUUAGGCCAUAAUAGAUGUUGCUUUUCUACUGCCGUGAUUGAUCGACUAUUAACUACACGAACUUCAACGAAUUGGGAAUAAACGACUGCUUGAAUGUCCUAUUGCCAGAGCCUUCACCUUAAUUAUCGUGUUAGAGGCUUCCUUGAAAGAGGUGGUUUCAUCCCCACAAUGUCAGAACAGUAGUCGUUCAAGGCAGAGACAGACGCAACCCCUGCUACUUGGGCAUGGGCCACGGCAAUCAAAGUUUCAUUCCCUGCUCGAGGCGUGUUAAUUAUGCGAGGUCGCGAGGAUCACAGCGGGCGGGUAAUUACCAAAAUGGAUGUGAAGCUUGUAGUUUAGGCAGAGGAUGAGUCAAACACACAGACUCCUUCUCACACAGUUUACACUGUUAUUAAGCGGCCCCUCCAGACCCUCUCUGUUCACCUCUGUCUCUCGCCCCUCUUCGUCUCCCUGGAGUCACAGUCACUUCAAAGCUGUAGUCGUGCUUGAUGACUUGGGAAUCAUGGGGCUGAGCAGCCUUACUAACCGCUGCCUCACAGCAUGAGAAUAUGAUCAGAGUUGUAUUGUCAUUAGUUUAACAUUCGCCUUAAAAUCAAGUGUCAACUUCCUCCACCCAGGACAUACAGCAAAUCAAACACACCUUUAAAAGAACAAUCCAGGACAUACAGCAAAUCAAACACACCUUUAAAAGAACAAUCCAGGACAUACAGCAAAUCAAACACACCUUUAAAAGAACAAUCCAGGACAUACAGCAAAUCAAACACACCUUCAAAAGCACAAUCCACAAAUCCACCAUCUGCUAUUGAUUAAAUACAGGCCCCAAUACCUCCAAAGGUAAUUGCUCAUUAACAGCAAUAACUUCUGUAACAAUAUGACAGCUCAGAGAUGAGAAAUUGCAGAUUGAUAAUCACUUGUCUGUACACCAGCUUGUGAAACACAUAGUAGUCUUUUACACAUGUAAAUAUGUUGUGUAUGGUUUGUGAUUUUCAGGCACACGCAACAAUUCAGCAAAACUACAAACAUUUCCCCUGAUUACUCUCCUAGUUGGCUGGAAGAUAUGUGGUAGGAAUAUUGAUCUUGUAUAGGGACCAAAUGGCCGCGCCUGAGAGGGAAGCCAAGACCAUACACAACAGAAUAUUUUCAGUGAUGCAAAUGACUCCGACCCCGUUCCAGCCAGCACCCAGACAGCAACAUGGCGACAAAGGACACUUUUGUUCUCUUCCAAAUUCUUGUGCAUCAUUUUCUGCAAAUGACUGAAUCUCCUCAUCCCUCGCCUCUCAUUCCACUCAAUUAGCAUGUUUGCGUCUUACCCCCCUCACUCAGGGAUGGAUAAAAAUGUCCAAAUGUUAUCACAUAAUACACACCCACUAUGUUAUGUGGCACUGAGAUGACGCAGAGAGAUGGAGAGAGUGGUGACAGGAGGUAAAGAAUAGGUGAUUGGUUUUGCUCCAGGAGACAGGGGGGAAUGGUUAGGAGGGACACAAGGCUCCAUUGAACGCUUUCUCACUUACUCCUCAUGCGUCUCCCCCAGUUCUCUUCCAUCUCCUCCUUUCUCCCACAGCUGCAGCAGUCCUCAUGCUUUUGUAUUAGAGGAGGGGAGGGAGAGCAUAGUGACAGAGAGAGGGAGUGAGACUGAAAAGAAAGAGCGAGCGAGAGAUGUGGAAUGGGACAGCGGCCGUGGAGUGAACUGAAAUUCAAGGAAUAAAGAAAGUAACAAUUAAUAUCAAGUCUGUUGUUUGUAAAUAUGUGUAUAAAGAUGUCAGAAUUUAGAUACGAUGUCAUUGUUUUAGCACUACCCACUGAGUUUGGAAACUACGGCACGUGACAUGGUUCAAUGUGCCAAUAAAUCAGCACAAUCAACCUUUUUCGGUUUUUCAAAUUGCUGGGAUCUUGAAGCUAAAAUUGCGAUCAUGUAUACGGUGGUAAUUACCAAAAAUUGUAGUGGAGAGCAAUGAACAAUACGUUGAAUUGUACGGCGAACUUAGCAAAACAAGGAAUUUGUGGUAAGUGCGUGGGGGCCACCAUCUUUAUGCACCUCUGCUGUUGAUCAAUCUUUGCCCAAUUACACCUGUUUCAUGGUAAAUACUGGGACUUUCAAAGGGUGCCUGAUUUUUGGAGGAGGUCAAUGUGGUGGAAAACAAUGGCUCCAUUCAUACUGAUAUAUGGAAAGUCUUUAUUGAUAACAAAUCAUCUCAGCAUGAUUGUACUUGGCUCAUUCUGAAUCCAUUGUCACUUCAUGGUCAUUAUUGCCUACAAUUGACCCUUGGUCUGGCAAGACCGACUUUACAUCAAUAUAUAGAUAAUAAAAGACUGACUUUACAUCAAUAUAUAGAUAAUAAAAGACUGACUUUACAUCCAUAUAUAGAAAAUAAAAGACUGACUUUACAUCCAUAUAUAGAUAAUAAAAGACUGACUUUACAUCCAUAUAUAGAUAAUAAAAGACUG
Molecule: long non-coding RNA, 2784 nt
Filed under: Salmo trutta (river trout)
Lineage: Eukaryota; Metazoa; Chordata; Actinopteri; Salmoniformes; Salmonidae
Description: lncRNA (ENSSTUG00000033009.1)
Source: RNAcentral